GAUGAACGCUGGCGGCGUGCCUAAUACAUGCAAGUCGAACGAAACUUCUUUAUCACCGAGUGCUUGCACUCACCGAUAAAGAGUUGAGUGGCGAACGGGUGAGUAACACGUGGGCAACCUGCCCAAAAGAGGGGGAUAACACUUGGAAACAGGUGCUAAUACCGCAUAACCAUAGUUACCGCAUGGUAACUAUGUAAAAGGUGGCUAUACUACCGCUUUUGGAUGGGCCCGCGGCGCAUUGGCUAGUUGGUAGGGUAAAGGCUUACCAAGGCAAUGAUGCGUAGCCGAAUUGAGAGGUUGAUCGGCCACAUUGGGACUGAGACACGGCCCAAACUCCUACGGGAGGCAGCAGUAGGGAAUCUUCCACAAUGGGCGAAAGCCUGAUGGAGCAACGCCGCGUGGGUGAAGAAGGUCUUCGGAUCGUAAAACCCUGUUGUUAGAGAAGAAAGUGCGUGAGAGUAACUGUUCACGUUUCGACGGUAUCUAACCAGAAAGCAACGGCUAACUACGUG
This 512-nucleotide ribosomal RNA is filed under the name uncultured bacterium. RNAcentral describes it as "partial 16S ribosomal RNA". It matches the Rfam family "Bacterial small subunit ribosomal RNA", at positions 28 to 507 of the family's 1533-position model. The record is from RNAcentral.